Molecule: long non-coding RNA, 426 nt
Filed under: Anser brachyrhynchus (Pink-footed goose)
Lineage: Eukaryota; Metazoa; Chordata; Aves; Anseriformes; Anatidae
Description: lncRNA (ENSABRG00000021830.1)
Source: RNAcentral
GGGCUGCCCAGUGCACACGCUGCUCCCAGAAGACCCUGAUUUUCUCACCAGGCAUUUGCUGUGGGUGUGAGAUGAGAAGACCACACGGACACCAGCUGUGGCAUCGGCCUUCCUUCCCACCAGGGAGGAGCACCCCAGUCCCUCACCAGCAUCCUCCCUGACAGAAAACAAUGUGUAUUGAAGAUACAAGAAGUCACACUAAUAGGAAUCCUGUAUGGCAAAUGACUCCACAGAGGAUAAAAGUUUCAGCUUGAAGUUUGCUUGCUUUGAUAUAAAUCAUUGCAACGUUGCAUCACCAUGGAGCAAAAUCACACAACGCGUAAUGGAAGAAGCUGAUAACCUAGGCUUUGGCUGAUGAUUAUUCUUUGCCUUGGUAAAGGAAGGUAGACUGAAACUUAAAACUCCCCAGCAUACGAUCAUCAGGCU